Dermacentor albipictus is the source of this 1172-nucleotide RNA transcript. RefSeq lists it as uncharacterized. The record is from RefSeq and is a predicted model, not a curated record. Lineage: Eukaryota; Metazoa; Arthropoda; Arachnida; Ixodida; Ixodidae.
GUAAGAAGACAGGACAGGCGCAAACCGCUGAUGCUUGGCAUGAUGAAGGGAGAACACAAAAGGAAGAGCCCGAUGUAGAAGAAAUGAAGUUUAGCAGGAUGCGUUGUUGGGAAGAACUACAUAAAAAUAAGAACAUCUGCUUUGUCACACACACGCAAACGUGCGCGUUAUAGUUGUAACAUGCCACAGCUGCAAUCUGGCAAAGUGAAGGAGUGCAAGAUCAAACUAAGUCUUUCGUGGUACUUACUACAAUAGAAAAGACACCACGAACGGACUUCCCCACCACCACUUGAUUACGCAAGUUUCACAGAAAAAAACGCGAGAAGGCAGAACAGCCGCAGCCAAACCGCCAUCAUGAAUAAAACGACAACCAUAAUGAUUUUUGUUGCCUUCUGCGUGAUAAGGUCUUGGCGCUGUCCCUCCUGAAAGCUUCCUUCGGGGGCUUCGCUACGCCGGGCAUUCCCUUGCCACUGGUGCGGCCUUCGACGAGUUUCAUCGAUGACGAUGUGCUGGCUGAGUUUCGCCGCUCCCAGCCAAUUCCUUGCCAGCAUCCAAGACUGACUGCGACAUCUGCUCUCACCUGGCAACCAAAGCCUUCCAGCGUCACGCGAUCCGAGGGGCGGAUAUAUAAGCAGCACUUGUCAGCUGAGCGUCCGGGGCACGACACUGCUCUGGCCAUGUUCUCACACCCGUUCUACGCACAGUUGCCAAUCUCACCCGCAAAUCAAAGGCAGAAACGCUGUGUUGGAAGAGCGAAUCGCUUCAAGUACGUGUACAAGAUACGUGAGCAAGAGGUUAUAACCAUCACACGGAAAAUUUUGAUCGUCAUCUGAAAUGAUAGUUUCAGAAGCGCUUCAUUCACCAGCGAGCACAUACGGAGAGAUUACUAAUAUGAACUGCUUGCCAGCGUAUGUGCUUAUAGUAGCCCUCUGCGCUAUGAGCUCUGAUUCCCGGACUGCGGAUAAAGUUGUAAAAGCAACAGUGGAAGAACGAAUUUUGUAUUCUACGAGAAGUUGCUAUCGAGAGACGUGCUCUGGGGGCAGCUGCCCCACCAAGGGGUGCAGAUGUCCAGGUCUGUUAUCAAUGAUCUUUGGAAGAAGGAACUGUUACUGAGAUGGAUACCUGCUUUGCCCCUAUUUCAUGAGCAAUUGAAUAAAAUUAAUAUUUUGGCA